This 78-nucleotide transfer RNA is filed under the name Bdellovibrionales bacterium. RNAcentral describes it as "tRNA-Met". It matches the Rfam family "tRNA". Rfam says of the family: Transfer RNA (tRNA) molecules are approximately 80 nucleotides in length. The record is from RNAcentral. Lineage: Bacteria; Pseudomonadati; Bdellovibrionota; Bdellovibrionia; Bdellovibrionales.
AGGCGACGUAGCUCAGCUGGUUAGAGCGCGGAACUCAUAAUUCCGAGGUCGGUGGUUCAAGUCCACCCGUCUCUACCA